This 293-nucleotide long non-coding RNA is filed under the name Ananas comosus (pineapple). RNAcentral describes it as "long non-coding RNA (ACOM_LNC002661)". The record is from RNAcentral. Lineage: Eukaryota; Viridiplantae; Streptophyta; Magnoliopsida; Poales; Bromeliaceae.
GUUUGUUGGGAAAAUUCUGCAUCGAAAAUUUGAUUGUAAUUAAAAUCUAACUAGUUUUGUGAUGAAAAUAAAUAAAUUAAUUUACAUAUAAGCGCUAAAAUUCAAAAUUGUGGAAGAAGAAGAAUCGAACGAUUUGAUCCGGAAGCAUGCGAACACUGCCUGCGUGACUGAAUGCGAGCAUUGCCUAAGUCGUGACUGGAAUUUCUUUUUUUACGAGCACGAACGCGAAAGAGGUUGACGGAGAUUUUUUCAAUAUCCAAUGGAUAAGAGAUAUAUUCAAAUAAUAAAAUAUG